GGGCGAAACUAUGUGUUUUUUCCCACCAAAAUUUUACUGUGAAUGAAUUGGGAAAAGGGGGACUUGCAGUGGUUCAUCGUCUUCAUAACGUAUCUUGGAAGUUGAUAUCAGAUUUAUUUGCGUAAAAACAUGGUUUAAUUCGAUUUGAUUUUGCACUCGAUUGGAUUGUUUGGAAAGGUUUAAUUAGAUGGAUUUGAUUGUUGUCAAUGUUGACUCACAGUGGGUUUCAUCAUCUUCAUCACCAAUCUCGCAUUCUUGGAAGUGGUUUCAUCGUCUUAAUCAUCAAUCUUGGAAGUUAAAAGUGCUUUAAUUCAAUUUGAUUUUGCACUCGAUUGGAUUCUUGCGAAAGCUUUAAUUAAAUCGAUUUGAUUGUUGUCAAGGCUGACUUACAGUUGUUGCAUCUUCUUCAUCACCAAUCUUGCAAUCUUGGAAGGUAAAGUAAAAAUGCUUUAAUACGAUUUCAUUUUCUCUCGAUGGGAUUCUUGUGAAAAAUAUAAUGACACUUGAUUUGAUCGUUGUCAAUGUUGACUUACGGUGGUUUCAUCGUCUUCAUCACCAAUCUUGGAAGUUGUUUCAUCGUCUUCAUCACCAAUCUUGCAAUCUUGGAAGGUCUUCUAGAGAUGACCAGAUUGGCAUGGAAGGGAAUCCAGUGGCUUGAAAAUAGUUCCAAAGGUGAAUGCAGCAGUAUAUUAUAACAGAUCAAGUGAAAUGAAACAAAAACACAUUCAUCCAAGACACGCCUCUUCAGAAGCUGAUCCGUGUGAUGUGAACUACGCUAGGAAUAGAAAUCAGUCAGAGUUUGCUCUUGCGAUAGAAUUUUGGCAAUGAACCAUGAUGAUGAAUUGGAAGAAACUGAGAUAGAAGAUUUUUGUUCCCAAGUUUGUAAUUUAUUUCUCCAUGAUGCACUAUAUGAUCAACUCGUACAGGCAAAUGAGGUCCCUGGAAUGUUGCUACAGAGUUUGCUCUUGGGGAUCAGUAUUGUUUCUUCAGUAGAAAGCUUUCAAGUGCUAGGUUUGAGGAGGGGUACAAUAUUUCAACAAAACAAAGUAUGCAUUGCGAACGCUUUGUUAGAAAACAAGAAUUGGGCAAUUAACUGUGAGGAUGAAUUGGAAGAAACUGAGAAGAUAUAAUUUUUUUUUUUUUUUUCACAAGUUCAUACUUAGUUUUGCCAUGAUGCAGUCUAUGAUCAACUCAUACAGGCAAUUCCUUAAAUGAGACAGUUAUUAUCUCCUCCUUAGAAUGCUGCUACAAAUUUUGCCUCUUCAAUAAUGCUUCUUCAGUAAAGGACCCUCAACUAUUAACGUUUGAAGAGGGGUUCAACAUCUUCGAAAAACAAAGGCUGAAAUAAUAACUUUGCUGGCUGUUUUGGAGGAGCAUGACUAUGUAAGCUCUCUACAGAGGUCUUCUCAAGAUGACCAGAUUGGCAUGGAAGGGAACCCAGUAUCUUGAAAAUAAUUCCAAAGGUGAAAUUAAGCAGUUUAUUAGCAGAUGUGAAAAUAUGGACUGAACACAAGUUCAUCUGAUAUUUAUCCAGACUUGUCAGAGAUAUCUAAGAUAAGUUAUUUUAACCAAGAUUCAUGAUACUCUAGUCCGAAAUCCAUAAGCAACAACUCUAAGACCAUGUAAAAACGCAGAUUAGGGGAAUUGAAACAAAAACAAGUUAAUCCAAGACACAUCUUAACUUAUUCAGAAGCUGAACCGUAUGUUGUGAACUUUAGAGAUCGUCUGGGUUCAAAGCUCUUAUCAUAUCUAUAACCUAGUUUCCAUCUGCUUUAGUCUCUCUAGAUUGUUAGCAGCUGGAUGACGCAGAAAUAAAUGGCUAGGAUGAUUUGGCAGAAUCAACAACAUGGUUGUUUCAUAUGUUAUUAUAUAAUGCAACAUGUACAAGUGAAGAUGUUUCUCUGACUAAAUUACUACAUUCUCUGCCCAAUGUUGUGCUAUUCGAUAGAGGGUGACAUCCAUUAGCUACUAUAUUCUCCCUGGAAUGCUGCUACAGAUUUUGCUCUUGCAAACUUAUUCACUAAAGGAGCUUCAAUUAAUAGAGUUUGAAGAGGGGUACAAUAUGUUCAAGAAAACAAAGAAUGCAACAGUAACAUUAUUUUUCGCUUAAUUGGAAGCAAGAAUUUUGGCAAUGAACCAUGAGGAUGAAUUGGAAGAAACUGAGAUUGAAGUUUAUUUAUUUAUUUAUUUAUUUUCACAAAUUCAUAAUUUAUUUCGCCAUGAUGCAGUAUAUGAUCAACUAGUACAGGCAAAUUAGACAGCUAUCAUCUUCUCCACAGAAUUUUGCUACAGAGUUUGCUCUUGGGAUCUGUGUUGUUUCUUCAGUAAAGAACCUUCAAGUGUUGAUGAGGGGUACAAUAUUUCAACAAAACGAAGGAUGCAUUGUGUACACUUCAUUAGAAAACAAGAAUUUUGGCAAUGAACCGUGAAUAUGAAUUGGAAGAAACUGAGAUAGAAGAUUUUUAUUCACAAGUUCAUAAUUAGUUUUUCCAUGAUGUAGUCUCAUACCGGCAAAUCCUUAAAUGAGACAGCUAUUAUCUUCUCCCUGGAAUGCUGCUACAGAGUUUGCUCUUCUAAAAUGCUUCUUCAGUAAAGGAUCCUCAAGUAUUAAUGUUUGAAGUGGGGUACAAACGUCUUCAACAAAAUAAAGGAUGAAAUAGUAACUUUGCAGGCUGUGUUGGAAGGGAAACAUCAUGAUGUCAGCUUUCUGCAGAGAUCUUCUUGAGAUGAUCAGAUUGGCAUGGAUCCAGUGGCUAGAAAAUAGUUCCCAAGGUGAAAUGAAGCAGUAUAUGAGCUGGUUUGAAAAUAUGGACUGAAAACAAGUUCAUCCGAUAUUUAUCCAGACUUGUCAGAGAUAUCCAUGAUAAUUUUUUUGACUUAAGAUUCAUGAUAUUCUAGUCCUAAAUGCAUAAGCAACAGUUCUAAGACCGUGAAAAUGCAGAUUGUGGAAUGAAAUGAAAGCAUGUUCAUCCGAGACAUGCAUCUGAACUUAUUCAGAAGCUGAACCGUAUGUUGUGAACUUUGUUAGGAAUAGAAAUCAUUCGGGUUCAAAAUUCUAUUAUAUUUACAACCUAAAGUUUCCAUCUGCUUUAGUCUUUCUGGGUUGUUAACAGUUGCAAGUUUUAACUGGAUGGGGCAGAGCUAAAUGGCUACUGGCUAGGAUGAUUUGACAGAAUUAAUAAUUUACUUGUUUCUUAUGUUGGUUGAUAAUGCAACACGUACAAGUGAAAAUGUUUCUCUGGCUAAAAUACUACAUUCUUCGGCCCAUGUUGUGUUAUUCGAUACAGGGUAACAUCCAUUUGCUACCAUAUUCUCCCUGUGAUGCUGCUACACAGUUUGCUCUUGCAAUAAAGAUUUCUGAUCAGUAAAGGAGCUUCAAGUAUUAGGGGCCAUGACAAGGGUUAAGGUCAUAGCUCACCUCGAUGAAUCAGGAAGACAUUGCAAAUGGAACUGGCCACGUGUCACAUUUAUAAUUAGUUUGAUAUCUUCGAACAAAUUAUAAGUGCAAAUGAUUUAGUAACCAGAUGUUUUUAAUUUUAAAAAGUUGUACACGAAAUAACAUAAUGCAUAAAUUUAUAAGAAAUUCAUUAAUUAAUUAUUCCUUGUAUAAUUUUAACUCUGCCUAUGUCGAAUAAUAGCUGGUCUCAAGCCCGAAUAAAAGAAGAAGGUUGUUGUGUAUUAGACUUAAUGAAUAUAUGAAAUUUAUGUUCAAUAUUUUGAAUUUUAACUGUUUAUGUCAUCAAUUUUUAUAGAAACACAAGAUUAAUUUACUUAGCUGAUCAAAUUUGAUGUUUCCUUUCAGCUCUUGCUGAGAUAACCAGAUUGGCAUGAAAUGGAUUUGGCCAAACUGGUAUAAUGUUGAAAUGUGGCAGCAGUUUGCGCUCAGAAAGUUCAUUAAACAUCUACUUGGGCUCGAUGGAGAUAUCCAGGAUAAGUCGUUCCCACAACCACAGUUUCGCAGGUAGGAAAAAAUGAGAAGCCCGAGAUCACUUUGCUAAAGUUAAUGGGAUGUGCCAAUACAGCUCACUGGAGAAUGAGUCGAUCUUAUCCCAGAAAAUCAUAAGCAACAAGUUUAUGACCAUAUAAAUAUGCAAAAUUAGGGAAUGUGAAAGACGAUCCCUCCACGACACACGAUCAUUAGCCUCGAAUAGAAGCCAAUGACUUCAGUAGGCACUCUAGAAUAUACACUCAUUGAUAUUAAGAUAUGUUCAUUGUGGGAGAAUGAGCAAGUAGCAUGUAUGUAUCCUCUGACUUCUAAUUUUUUCUAUCUUGUUCUCCAUAUUAAAUCCUUAAGAUUGAAGCUUCA
Olea europaea var. sylvestris is the source of this 4306-nucleotide long non-coding RNA. RefSeq lists it as uncharacterized. NCBI's taxonomy places the organism in Eukaryota, Viridiplantae, Streptophyta, Magnoliopsida, Lamiales, Oleaceae. The transcript has 8 exons. The record is from RefSeq and is a predicted model, not a curated record.